GAAACGACUGCUAAGACUGGAUAGGAAAUUAGAAGGCAUCUUUUAAUUUUUAAAAGACCUUUUUCGAAAGGUAUACUUAAAGAGGGGCUUGCGGCACAUUAGUUAGUUGGUAGGGUAAAAGCCUACCAAGACCAUGAUGUGUAGCUGGACUGAGAGGUUGAACAGCCACAUUGGGACUGAGACACGGCCCAAACUCCUACGGGAGGCAGCAGUAGGGAAUUUUCGGCAAUGGAGGAAACUCUGACCGAGCAACGCCGCGUGAACGAUGAAGUAUUUCGGUAUGUAAAGUUCUUUUAUUGAAGAAGAAAAAAUAGUGGAAAAACUAUCUUGACGAUAUUCAAUGAAUAAGCCCCGGCAAACUAUGUGCCAGCAGCCGCGGUAAUACAUAGGGGGCGAGCGUUAUCCGGAAUUAUUGGGCGUAAAGGGUGCGUAGGCGGUUUGGUAAGUCUAUAGUUUAAAUCCAGUGCUUAACACUGUUCUGCUAUAGAAACUAUCAGACUAGAGUGAGAUAGAGGCAAGUGGAAUUCCAUGUGUAGCGGUAAAAUGCGUAAAUAUAUGGAGGAACACCAGAGGCGUAGGCGGCUUGCUGGGUCUUUACUGACGCUGAGGCACGAAAGCGUGGGGAGCAAACAGGAUUAGAUACCCUGGUAGUCCACGCCGUAAACGAUGAGUACUAAGUGUCGGGGAAACUCGGUACUGAAGUUAACACAUUAAGUACUCCGCCUGAGUAGUACGUACGCAAGUAUGAAACUUAAAGGAAUUGACGGGACUCCGCACAAGCGGUGGAUCAUGUUGUUUAAUUCGAAGAUACACGAAAAACCUUACCAGGUCUUGACAUACUCUGCAAAGCUAUAGCAAUAUAGUGGAGGUUAUCAGGGAUACAGGUGGUGCAUGGUUGUCGUCAGCUCGUGUCGUGAGAUGUUAGGUUAAGUCCUAAAACGAGCGCAACCCUUGUCACUAGUUGCCAGCAUGUUAUGAUGGGCACUUUAGUGAGACUGCCAAUGAAAAAUUGGAGGAAGGUGAGGAUCACGUCAAAUCAUCAUGCCCCUUAUGAUCUGGGCUACAAACGUGAUACAAUGGCUGUUACAAAGAGUAGCUAAAACGCGAGUUUAUAGCCAAUCUCAUAAAAGCAGUCUCAGUUCGGAUUGAAGUCUGCAACUCGACUUCAUGAAGUUGGAAUCGCUAGUAAUCGCGAAUCAGCAUGUCGCGGUGAAUACGUUCUCGGGGUUUGUACACACCGC
This 1241-nucleotide ribosomal RNA is filed under the name Candidatus Phytoplasma cynodontis. RNAcentral describes it as "bacterial SSU rRNA". It matches the Rfam family "Bacterial small subunit ribosomal RNA", at positions 153 to 1393 of the family's 1533-position model. Lineage: Bacteria; Bacillati; Mycoplasmatota; Mollicutes; Acholeplasmatales; Acholeplasmataceae. The record is from RNAcentral.